Molecule: ribosomal RNA, 253 nt
Filed under: uncultured bacterium
Lineage: Bacteria
Description: partial 16S ribosomal RNA
Rfam family: Bacterial small subunit ribosomal RNA
Source: RNAcentral
UACGUAGGGGGCAAGCGUUGUCCGGAUUUAUUGGGCGUAAAGAGCGUGUAGGCGGCCUGACAGGUCUGCUGUGAAAACUCGAGGCUCAACCUCGAGAUGUCGGCGGAAACCGUCUGGCUAGAGUCCGGAAGAGGAGAAUGGAAUUCCCGGUGUAGCGGUGAAAUGCGUAGAGAUGGGGGAGAACACUCGUGGCGAAGGCGGCCAGCUAGACCAGUUCUGACACUGAGGCGCGACAGCGUGGGGAGCAAACAGG